UACGUAGGGGGCAAGCGUUGUCCGGAUUUAUUGGGCGUAAAGAGCGUGUAGGCGGUUUGGUAGGUCCGCUGUGAAAACUCGAGGCUCAACCUCGAGACGCCGGUGGAAACCAUCAGACUAGAGUCCGGAAGAGGAGAGUGGAAUUCCUGGAUGUAGCGGUGAAAUGCGCAGAUAUCAGGAAGAACACCCGUGGCUAAGGCGGCUCUCUAGUACGGUACUGACGCUGAGACGCGAAAGCGUGGGGAGCGAACAGG
This 254-nucleotide ribosomal RNA is filed under the name uncultured bacterium. Its description in RNAcentral is "partial 16S ribosomal RNA". It matches the Rfam family "Bacterial small subunit ribosomal RNA", at positions 524 to 776 of the family's 1533-position model. The record is from RNAcentral.